Molecule: long non-coding RNA, 1636 nt
Filed under: Rattus norvegicus (Norway rat)
Lineage: Eukaryota; Metazoa; Chordata; Mammalia; Rodentia; Muridae
Description: long non-coding RNA NONRATT019056
Source: RNAcentral
AACCAUGGUGAAUCUGGGCCUGUCCCGUGUAGAUGACGCCGUCGCCGCCAAGCACCCGGUGAGAAGGUUGGCCUAGCUGACCUGAGGCAGAGUAGAGGCAGGGGGAGCACGGUCAGGGAGUGGAGGCACCCUCCUGCCUUAGAGAUAGGGCACGCUAAAUGGGUUUAGGAGAGGGUGGAAUAUAUCCAGCCCCCAUUCUCCCUCGCCGAGGCCAGGUGAUGCCUAAAGGAAAAGCUGGAGGAAAGAGAACUGAGCCAUAAACACGUCCCCCACCCUCCAAUUCCAGGGACUCGAGGAAUAUGCUGCCUGCCAGUCGAACGCCUUCAUGAAAGGCGUUUUCACUUUUGUCACAGGAGGCGCCAAGUUGGCAGGUGUGGCAGGUACCCUGACCAGCACUUUGCUUGGCUCUUGGCAGGCACUGGUGUGACUUUUGGCCUGCAGAUGUUCAUUAAGAGGAAGUUUCCAUACCCUGUGCAGUGGGGCUUCCUGGUGUCUGCCGUUGUAGGAUCUGUGGCCAGCUACAGAGUGACAAGAAUGGAGUGUCAGAAAUGCAGCAAUCUGUGGCUCUUCCUGGAGACCGGGCAGCUCCCCAAAGGCAUGAGCACAGAUCACAACAACUAGAAGAGCUCUGGCUGCUGGAGUGUGUAGGAUGUGAGGUGGGGAAGAGCCUAGAGCACAGACUUGGACAGCAUCUAACUCCAGGCUGGUCCUUCCUAGCUCACCAAAUACACAAACAAGCAUGUGUCAUCUCUCUCCUACACGCACAUGGGGGAGCUGCCUGAGAAACCUGUGAAGAUCACUGCUGCUGUGAAGAUCCAUCCAGGAUUUGCCAGGGAGGCCAGCUCAGAAAAGGACUUGGGAGAGGGGGAUCUCUUCCAGAGCAGCAAGGAGCCAGGGUAUCGUUUUGGAUCCUGUCACACACAACUGUUGGGGCAACAGCCUGCGUGUGGCGCUUUCUGUGGUGCUUUGGGGCCCUUAUCUGACAUGUAGGCCCCAAAAUCCAAGGAGAAUGUUGGAGAGUUGUAGCUAAUAAAUGGCUUGUCCUUUUUCCUAUGUGAGAUCUAAAGCAAUUAAACACGAGCUGCUGAGGUAGUUCUGUGGUUAUAGCACCUGGGGCUAAGUCUGGUGACUGACCAGGAACCGAAUGGUGGAUGGAGUAACAACUCCCCCAAAGUGUCCCCUGAUCUCCACAUGCAUACUGUGGCAUAUGGGUCCCCAUUAUGCAUGUACAGACACACGAAAUAAAUAAAUAAAUACAGGUCUAAUAGUAAAAAAGAAAGGCCAGGCAUAGUGGUGUACACCUUUAAUCCCAGCACUCGGGAGGCAGAGGCAGAAGGCUCUGAGUUCAAGGCCAGCCUUGUCUACAGAGUGAGUUCUAGGGUAGCCAGAACUUCAGACAUAAAACUUGUUUUGAAAAUCCAAGAUGCUGGAGAGAUGGCUCAGCGGUUGGGAGCACUGACUGCUCUUCCAGAGGUCCUGAGCUCGGAUCUUAACCACCACAUGGUGGCUCACAACCAUCUUUAAUGGGAUCUGAUGCCCUCUUCUUGUGUGUCUGAAGACAGCUACAGUGUACUUAUAUAUAAUGAAUAAAUAAAUCUUUAAAAAAAAGAAAAUCCAAAUAAAUAAACAAGAAAGU